RNAcentral lists this ribosomal RNA (253 nucleotides) under uncultured bacterium. RNAcentral describes it as "partial 16S ribosomal RNA". It matches the Rfam family "Bacterial small subunit ribosomal RNA", at positions 524 to 776 of the family's 1533-position model. The record is from RNAcentral.
UACGUAGGGCGCAAGCGUUGUCCGGAUUUAUUGGGCGUAAAGAGCUCGUAGGCGGCUUGUCGCGUCGAAAGUGAAAACUUCUGGCUUAACUGGGAGCUUGCUUUCGAUACGGGCUGGCUGGAGUGUGGUAGGGGAGACUGGAAUUCCUGGUGUAGCGGUGAAAUGCGCAGAUAUCAGGAGGAACACCGGUGGCGAAGGCGGGUCUCUGGGCCAUUACUGACGCUGAGGAGCGAAAGCGUGGGGAGCGAACAGG